AUUGAACGCUGGCGGCAGGCUUAACACAUGCAAGUCGAGCGGGGGAAGGUAGCUUGCUACCGGACCUAGCGGCGGACGGGUGAGUAAUGCUUAGGAAUCUGCCUAUUAGUGGGGGACAACAUCUCGAAAGGGAUGCUAAUACCGCAUACGUCCUACGGGAGAAAGCAGGGGAUCUUCAGACCUUGCGCUAAUAGAUGAGCCUAAGUCGGAUUAGCUAGUUGGUGGGGUAAGGGCCUACCAAGGCGACGAUCUGUAGCGGGUCUGAGAGGAUGAUCCGCCACACUGGGACUGGGACACGGCCCAGACUCCUACGGGAGGCAGCAGUGGGGAAUAUUGGAGAAUGGGGGGAACCCUGAUCCAGCCAUGCCGCGUGUGUGGAGAAGGCCUUAUGGUUGUAAAGCACUUUAAGCGAGGAGGAGGCUACUUUAGUUAAUACCUAGAGAUAGUGGACGUUACUCGCAGAAUAAGCACCGGCUAACUCUGUGCCAGCCGCCGCAGUAA
RNAcentral lists this ribosomal RNA (501 nucleotides) under uncultured bacterium. RNAcentral's name for it is "partial 16S ribosomal RNA". It matches the Rfam family "Bacterial small subunit ribosomal RNA", at positions 30 to 523 of the family's 1533-position model. The record is from RNAcentral.